RNAcentral lists this ribosomal RNA (376 nucleotides) under uncultured bacterium. RNAcentral describes it as "bacterial SSU rRNA". It matches the Rfam family "Bacterial small subunit ribosomal RNA", at positions 524 to 898 of the family's 1533-position model. The record is from RNAcentral.
GACGUAGGUGGCGAGCGUUGUUCGGAAUCACUGGGCAUAAAGCGCGCGUAGGCGGCCAAGUCAGUCGGGUGUGAAAUCCCUCGGCUCAACCGAGGAACUGCGCCCGAUACUGCAUGGCUUGAGGUCCGGAGGGGAGAGUGGAAUUCCCGGUGGAGCGGUGAAAUGCGUAGAGAUCGGGAAGAACGCCGGCGGCGAAAGCGACUCUCUGGUCGGAAUCUGACGCUGAGGCGCGAAAGCUAGGGGAGCAAACGGGAUUAGAUACCCCGGUAGUCCUAGCCAUAAACGAUGGGCACUAGGUACUGGUCGUUCCUAUGCGGUCAGUGCUGGAGCGAAUGUUUUAAGUGCCCCGCCUGGGAAGUACGGCCGCAAGGCUAAA